AUUGAACGCUGGCGGCAUGCUUUACACAUGCAAGUCGAACGGCAGCGCGGGCUUCGGCCUGGCGGCGAGUGGCGAACGGGCGAGUAAUGCAUCGGAACGUGCCCAGUAGUGGGGGAUAGCACGACGAAAGCCGGAUUAAUACCGCAUACGACCUGAGGGUGAAAGCGGGGGACCGAAAGGCCUCGCGCUAUUGGCGCGGCCGAUGUCGGAUUAGCUAGUUGGUGGGGUAAAGGCUUACCAAGGCGACGAUCCGUAGCUGGUCUGAGAGGACGACCAGCCACACUGGAACUGAGACACGGCCCAGACUCCUACGGGAGGCAGCAGUGGGGAAUUUUGGACAAUGGGGGAAAGCCUGAUCCAGCCAUGCCGCGUGCGGGAAGAAGGUCUUCGGGUUGUAAACCGCUUUUGUUCGGGAAGAAAUCCUCUGGGCUAAUACCCCGGGGUGAUGACGGUACCGGAAGAAUAAGCACCGGCUAACUACGUG
Molecule: ribosomal RNA, 484 nt
Filed under: uncultured bacterium
Lineage: Bacteria
Description: partial 16S ribosomal RNA
Rfam family: Bacterial small subunit ribosomal RNA
Source: RNAcentral